This 10580-nucleotide long non-coding RNA is filed under the name Mytilus galloprovincialis (Mediterranean mussel). Lineage: Eukaryota; Metazoa; Mollusca; Bivalvia; Mytilida; Mytilidae. The record is from RNAcentral.
GCAAUAUCAGUGAGUAUCUCACCAAGAAAUCAACAUGUGUUAGUAGGAUUAGCUGCCAAGAGGUUGAUAUGGGUCUUCACAACAAAUCAGGUAAUUUAAGUUUAAAGUGUUUUUUAGCUCACCUAGUCUAUAAGAGGUUGUAAGCUGACAUCACAUGGUCGAGAUCCCCACCCUUAAACCAUAUACAUUCUUGUAGGGGACAAUAAAACAAAUGAAAUGAAAUGUAGGUAAAUUCCCUGGUGGUCACCACCACCCCCUCCUGUUUGAAUACUUGUAAAUGGUGGAGAUCCCUACUUGUAAGCCAUAUAUAUUCUUGUAUGGGACAAAAAAUCAAAUCAAAUGAACAUGGGACCAUAUGAAUGGCGAGUUAUGGGAGAUUUGUUUGGGAGACUUCGUAACAGCAUCCUGUUACAAUUACUUCUUGUUAUAUAUAUAAACUCAAUAGAUGUUUAUGUCCCCGCCACAGCAGAGGUGGCAUUUAGUGUUACCCUUGUACAUCUGUAUGUACAUCCAAAAAUAAGUUUCCAUUCUCUAAUUUAUUUUUGUCUUAACUAAAUGUUAUAAAACUUUGUCACAUUAUUACAACACAGCUCAGAUCAAGGUUAAAUUUGGAUGCUGGUCAAAAUGUGCAUCAAGUUUUAAAAUAUUUUUCUUGUGCACAAUGAAUUUUAAAAGAACAUUUUUAUUAGAUUAGUCAGAAGUUAAGAGCAAAAACCAUUUUUUGUCCGUUUUUUUUUUUUUUUUUUAUAAAGAUCAAUAACUAAUUUCCAAGAAUAAUAGCAAUAGUGACAUAAAAAUGUUAUACUUUAAUUUUGUAGCUGGUUGGUCAGAUUUAUAAGCUAGAUAAUGCCAAUACAGGAGAAAACUCUACCAAGGUAAGUUUGUUGUGAUCAUUUAUACCAAGAUAUAUUCUAUUUGUCUCUUGGUAAUCAGAUAUUCUGUAAGAGUUAUCUAUAUUUUUACAAUUUUCUGCAUAAAAAGGGUAUGUUUCUAUGGUGAUUGAAGCCUUGUAGGAAGAACAUGUUUGAAUAUAUAAACUACAUUAUAGACAGAUAGACAAGUUUACUAAACAAAAUGUCAGACAAAAAAUCUUUUGGAUAGACAGAACUUUUAAGAUAUUUUGGUUGAAAAUAUAGUAGAAAAGUUCAAAUUUCUUUUUCGGUCAGACAAACCCUAAAACAGUUUGGCACAGACUGCACUCAAAUAUUUUAUUAUUACAUUUUUGAUUACUACCUAAAUGCAGCACUAUUGAAAAUGCGUAAUUUUCCUGUCCUGCAUUUUAACUAUAAUUAGAUUCUGUAUAAUACUCGUCAUAUUUAAUGAAAUAUUUCUCCUUAUAUUCCAGCAUGUGAUGGAUAUAAUGCAUCCAUGUGACAUAGACAUCAGGUCACAUGUCAGUGUUAAUUCAGCCAGGUGGAUGCCUACUCCAGGACAUGGACUAGUAUACGGUACUAAUCGUGGAGAUCUACAGAUAUGUAGACCAGGGUGAGUAAUUGCAUUUAUUAUUACCAGUUUACCUUACCAUUUGAAAUGCUAACAUGAAAUUUUCAUGUUAGUAUUUCUUCACAAUAAAUAUUGUUCAUUUUUGUACUACAUUUCUGUCAUAAUUAGGUUAUCUAUUAUAUCACCUACUGUAAAUUCAGAAAUUAUUGCAUGCAUUUAAUAUUGCGAUUUUGUCAUUUUUGACUAAAAUGCAAUUUAAAUUUUGCGAUAUUGAGAAAAAUCCUGUUUUAUUCAUAUAAAAAAGUUCAAAAUGUGAGUUAAAAUUAUUGCGACUAUAACCCUGUCGCAUUAAUUGCAAUAAUAAAAACAUCACAAUAAUUUUUGAAUUUACAGUAUAUGUAUUCAGCAGUUAAGGUUUGGGGCUUUACAUUCACUUCUUUUCUGAAUUUUUUUCAUCGCACCAAAAUCAACGAAUGUUUAUAGGCUUUGGGAAAUGACACAUUGUUUAACUACUUCAAAGUCUGUGUUUUUGAUAACUGAAGUGUGAUAAUUUGUGGUCCUUUACUUUGAUAAAGAGUUUAAAACUUAUUUUCAGUGUUAAUUCUGCACGCCACUCCACUUAUAUUUCAGCCAAGACUUCAUCAUAAAUUCAAACAUAAUGAGCAUUAUAAUUAAAAAGACCUCAAAGGAACUUGUUCAAGGCUCCAUAUAUUAUUUUUUUGUGUGCCCAUACAUAUCAUAGAUUUGUAAAAGCUUGAAAUUUGUCCUAUUAUACAAUUAUUGUUUGUUGCAUACAAAUUUUCACAGAAUUUGUUGUUUCUUCAAACCACCAACUAGGAACAAGAAGUACCUAAGCUACUAAGCUAUAACUUAUUUUCCAUUGAGUCCAUAAUUGUGUUAAUUUUAAAACAACAAAUUUGAACCCCCCCCCCAAAAAAAAACAAUGUUUGCAAAAUCUACACAUAAACAAAAGUGCUUCCUAAGUGUUUCCUUGUCCUGAACAUGCAUGAAAUAUUUGUCACUAUACAUUAAGCAACCAACAGUCAACUAAUCUUAAGUAUACAAAAUUCAAAAUCAUAAACUAGUCAAAGCUGUAUUAGUUCAAGUACACUAUUAACUUCAUCGGCUCAUGUAGCAUGUUUACUUUGGAGUGUUGGAGGUCCUGCUUGGGCUUGAUCCCUCUCUAGGUAAAAAAAAAUGCUUCAGAAAUCAUGUUGUUAAUUCUUGUUUUUUUGUAACCAAUUCUUCUUUAUUGUGGGGAAAUUGAUUUUUUGUGAAUUCCUGACUUCCUCAUUUUAAACAAGAAUAUAGGAAAUUUGUAUUUUGUUAAAACUCUUCAUUUGGUAGUUCCUUUAUACCUACUAUAAUCACCUUGUGAGCUAGCAGGUGGAACUUCUGACUCAGCAUGUCAGACUUGUUCAGACAGGAUUAAUUGAUGUCUUGUUGACAUGCUAUUAUCCUGAAAUCAUUACAGUUAGAUAUUCAGCAGUCACUUAUCAAUCUUUAUUUGAAGGCAGUAGCUUGCAGAUCUGUAUUGUAGUUGUGUCAAUAUCAAUUCUACUUUUAAGAGGUAUUGCAUGAAAUAAAAUGGGACAAUUUGAUUUUCAAAAAUGAUACACAAAGCUUGACAACUUCAAUAUUUACUAACAUGAAGAGGUUCAGUAAAAGCUUUUUUCCUUUCCUAAUUCAUCUUUGAAAUUUUAUCUAUUAUUUUGUCCAGCUGUAAUGCCACCCCAUACAAACACACACAAGUAUGUGAAUAGAGCAAACAUAAAAUUACAGUGGCUAUAAUACAUAUCAAUAGAAAAAUUUGUAAGGGUUCCACAGAACCCAGUGUCUCGCCUACUUUUGCUGUUAAUGACAGGCUCAACAAAAAUGAAUAAAAAAAUGUCAGUUAAAAAAUUCCCCUUGAUGAUAUCUUUUGAUUGUAAGAAGCUUCUGUCCAAGUUUGAUAAAAAUCCAGGAUAGUUUAUGAAUCUAAUAAUAAAUGUUUAAAAAACUUUAACUGCAGACUACAUGUACAUGUAUAUGUAAUGUUCAUUGAAAGAAAAACUAAGUCCAUUUAUAAGUAAAAUACAGAUACACAGGUACAAAAUUUUAACAAAUUUUUUUUCUAGAUACUAGCUUUUGAUCAUAAACAAACUUCUGUCCAAGUUUGGUACAUAUCCAAAAUAGUAUAAGAAAGUUAUUAAAAUUUUAAUAACUUUAACCAUGGAGUGAAAGUGUUGUUUCGUGGCAGAAAAUCAAUGUCCAUUUAAAAGUAAAAUACGUGAAAAAUGGAUUUAUUUUUUCACAAAAUUUACCUCUAGAUACUAUCUUAUGAUCAUAACCAAGCUUCUGUCCAAGUUUGGUACAAACCCAGGAUAGUUUAAGAAAGUUAUUAAAAUUUUAAAAACUUUAACCUCAGAGUGAAUUUGAUGUUCCCUUGCAGAAAAUAUAAGUCCAUUUAAAAGUUAAAUACAAAAAAAAUGGAAUCUUAUUUUUACAAAAUUUACUUCUAGAUACUAUCUUAUGAUCAUAACCAAGCUUCAAUCCAAGUUUGGUACAAACCCAGGAUAGUUUAAGAAAGUUAUUAAAAUUUUAAAAACUUUAACCACAGAGUGAAUAUUUGUGGAUGCCAGUCACGCCACCACUGCAGCCAGAAUGUAGGAUUGCUAUGUCUCGAUUUUUCGACUGAAUUUGAAGGCUCGACAAAAAUUAUAUAUAAUAUACUUCUGCAAAGUGAUAACAAGAGUAAAGCUGACAUUUUAAACGACCAAUUCCAGUCAGUAUUUACCAAAGAAACCUAAAUAACUUUCCAGAUAAAGGUAAAAGUCCAUACUCCACCAUGAAGGACAUAAAAAUUAGUACCAACGGAGUCCACAAAUUAUUAAAAAACCUAAAACCGCAUAAAGCUACUGGUCCCGAUUCAAUACCAGCCUUUAUACUGAAAGCAGCAGCAGAACAACUUGCUCCUAUACUCACAGACCUAUAUCAAACAUCAUUGAACACUGGUGAAGUCCCGCAAGAUUGGAGAGAUGCCAAUGUAGUUCCACUUUUUAAAAAAGACGAAAGGCACCUAGCAUCUAACUACAGACCAGUAUCUCUAACUUCCAUCACAUGUAAGGUCUUAGAACAUAUUGUACAUAGCAACAUCAUGGACCACUUUGACAAAAAUAAAAUACUAACUGAUGCACAACACGGAUUCCGCAAAAGACGAUCAUGCGAAUCCCAACUAAUCGUAACCAUCAACGACAUUGCAUCGAAAUUAAAAAGUAGCGGCCAAGUAGACAUCAUCCUGCUUGACUUUGCAAAAGCAUUUGACAAGGUACCACAUCACCGCCUCCUACACAAGUUGGAAUACUACGGCGUCAACCCCAAAACCAAUAAAUGGAUUCGCUCCUUCCUACAUAACAGAAAACAGAGCGUGAUAUUAGAGGGUGCCGUCUCUUCACAAGUACCAGUACUCUCUGGUGUACCCCAAGGCACAGUCCUUGGUCCAUUACUGUUCCUGGCCUACAUUAAUGACAUGCCAGAAACAGCAUCUACAUCAGAGACCAAAUUGUUCGCGGAUGACAGCCUUCUCUUUUCGUACCAUCACCAACCAAGCUGACAGUGAACUUCUACAAAAGGACUUAACAGCAUUGGAAGACUGGGAAAACAAAUGGCAGAUGAGUUUUAAUGCCAAAAAAUGCCUUGUCAUUAGAAUAUCCCCCAAAAAAUAGACCAGUGAUACAAAACAUCGUACCAUCUUCACGGUCAUACUCUAGACACAGAGGAAGCAAGUAAAUAUCUUGGAGUAACCAUCAGCAACAACCUAACAUGGAUAACACAUAGACAAUACAGUAGGCAAAGGAAACAGAACGUUGGGGUUUAUACGUAGAAACCUCAAAGGCUGUACAAAACCUGUAAAAGCAGCUGCAUAUGUGUCCAUGGUAAGACCUGCAGUGGAAUAUGCAAGCACAGUAUGGGACCCAACCGCCCAAAAUAAAAUCAAGGCAAUUGAACAGGUGCAGAAAAGAGCAGCACGAUUUGUGAAUAACAACUACACAGACCGAACACCUGGCUGUGUCACAAAUAUGGUUAAAAAUCUAAAGUGGGAAAGCCUCGAAGAACGGAGGAAAACAAAUAGAUUGUGCAUGCUAUUCAAGAUCCAGCAUGAACUUAUAGAUAUAGACCGUCACCAAUAUUUGACCCCGAAUGAUAACCGGACCAGAGGUAAAAAACCGCUUCUUCCAAGAAAGACAGUACAGACACCUAUGGCCAAUCUUUCUUCCCGAGGACAAUCAGGGACUGGAACAACCUACCAACAACAGUUACAGCGACCAACACCGUUGAGGGAUUCAGAGCUGCCCUGAAGGCAUGCUCUGAAAGGAAGUAGGAAAACCAGUUGUAAAUAAUUUUAAUUGUAUAUUUUUUUGCGAACGUUUUAAAUGUAAUUUGUAAAUAGCCAAGAGAAAAUCUUUCUGUGUUGCCCGACACUGCGUAAAGUUUUCGCGCGGAACCAUUAACAUUCAGCAAUGAAUCCGGUUCCUUACCUGGAAGAAGAAGAAAACAAGCAUUUUGUUACUUUGUACAUAUUAUGAAUUUAAGGAGUUGUGUUGUAUAUAUUACCUUGAUUAUUUAGUGAAUCUACCAUACAAACCACAGGACAUUCACUCAUUAUGUAAUGUCACUACAGUGAUAUAAUUGUAUAUUUCUAAGUCAUUGAUAAAUUCAGUGUGAAUAAUCAAAUCUUGCUCAGAUCUUUCAUAUACGUCAAUGAGACAGCAACCCAGAAUACAUAACAAAAUACAAAAAACAUCUAGUGUGGUUAUUUUCACAUUUAUUGUCAAUGUACAGCACUAUAUUUAUUGUCAAAGAACUAAUUGUAUAGUUCAAGUAAAAGUACAAUUUAACAGAUGACACAGUUCCUAUAACUGGAGACUUAUUGAUAAGCAUACAUAAAAAUAAUUUGAUAAAUACCUAUGAUGAAGUCUGUCCUAAGUUGCACUAGUGAUAAUUAAAGUUUGAAAGAGGGUUCCUUUAGUUUUUCAAAGAAUUCUGUAAUCUUCUAAGUUCUUCUGUCUAGGAUCUUGUUUUAACGGAAGCAUUUCUCGGUCUAUGUGUUCCUCUAGUUCAUUAAGUGGAUUACGAACAAAAUUGAUGACACUUCACAGUUUGAAAGAUGGUUUCCUCAGUUUUUCAAAGAAGUCUGUGAUCUUCUUCUGUCUAGGAUCAUGUUUUAACGGAAGCAUUUCUUGGUCUAUGUGUUCCUCUAGUUCAUUCAGUGGAUUACGUAUAAAGCAGUCCAUCAUACCAUUCUGUUCAUAAUACAUACGAAGCAUCUGUAUAUAUUUCUUGGCAGUAGCUGGUGUGAUAAUUUUUUCAUUAUUUUUCACUGAAUCAGGAAGUGGAAUAGAAGGUUUCAGAUGAAGGUGUUUCACUGGUUUCCUGUUCCUGCGUUUUCGUAAUUUAUAUUUGGACACCAUAGGUUUUGAUUUUUCACGUAUUAUCUGUUUGAUAAAAUCUUUCAGUUUAUCAUUUGUAUUUGGUUCAUUUUGUUGCAAAGUUUUCACCUUUUCCGAGUCCAUGAAAUUAAUAACUGCUGUUUCGGUAAUGUUUUGAUUGCAGAUUUCUUUAGAUCCAACACAAGUAUUUGAAUGUCCCACUAACAAAUGGUUUAUAAUUCCCUGGUAUGUCAUUUCUCUUCUUGAUCUUGGUGAUGUGGUAGUUUGUAAAAAGUUCCAAUGAGUUAAUUAACAUGAGUGGAUUUUAUGUGAAGGUUAAGAUUUGUUUACUGAAGUGUAGUAAACACUUUAACAGAUCAAUGUGAAUUGUUUUAACUAUAAAUUGUGUAAAAGUUUACUAAGAUGAUCUUUAAUCAUAGUUUAAAACAAUUCAUGGAAGAUUAAAUGUACUUGCAUGAUUAAUAGUUGUGUUUUUAUUUGGAAUCAUGAAUAAAAAUUCUAAUGAUUUUAAAUUAUAGAAAUGUGAUUAUAUUACUGGAAAAAUUAUGAUUACGGCUACAUUUAUAGUAAUUAACACUACUGGUUAAAUUAAAGUAACUUUUAAACAUAUUAAUGAAUCAUUUAAAAGUUCGAAACUUUUUUGUGCCCCUGUCGUGGCGGAGGGGGAUUUAAGUGGUACCCAUGUCUGUCUGGUCAGUCCUGUCUGUCUGUCACUUAUGUCCACAAAACUGGUUUCCAUUCUUUAUUAUUAGUUUGCCUCAGCCAAAUUUUAUAAAACUAAUACAUAAUGCUUAUUGCAACAAAACAGUGAUCAAGUUUAAAAUUUGGUAGCGUCACUUUUACUGUUCAUGAGUAAAUGCUUUUAAAUGAUGAAUUUUAACAUUUAAAAAAAUCUUUGCCUAUUAUCUGGAAAAUUAUGACAAUUUUAUAAAAAAAAAUUACUAUGGAUUUUUUAAUUUUUGUGGGUACCAAUUUUCGUGGUUUGAGGAAAAUUUGCAUAUUCGUGGAUAUUUAAUUUUGUGGUUUUGGCAACGUCUGCAUACAUUCCUUUAGAAAAUUUGUAAUUCGUUGAACAUUUGAAUUUGUGAAUCUCCUGUACCCAAGAAAUCCACAAAAGUUAGUAUCCAACGAAUAUAGAUGAAUUCACAGUAUAACUUUUAAAUAACUAUACUAGAUAGAUCUUAUCAUGUUGCCAAUUUUAAAACAAAAAUGGUAAGCAAGGCAAGAUUUACAUACAAAUCAACAUGACCUUAAUUGUUGUAGUUAUUGCCCUUUAAUGAUAAUUCUUCCCAUUUUCAAAAUUGUAAAAGAUAGAUAGAAACUUCAAACGGCAAAUAUUUUCAAGAAAACAGAUACCGGUAAGUCGUAAUGGCUGAAAUCUUCAGUCGGCUUGUCAUUUGAGUUAUUGCCCUUUGAUAUGUUAACUUAAACAACUAUAAUAGAUAAAUAGAAACUUAAAAAAGGAAAAUUAACAGCAUAAGAUAUACACAGGAGUUGUUCCCCUUUAAUGAUGUUUUUACUAAACGAUGGCCAUUGUUGAAUAUGCAGUUUAGUGACACAGGCCUUUAGUUUAUUUCACAAUUGAUAUUUUCUUUUUCAGAUCACUAAAAGUAUCAGAAGAUGAAGAAAGAGCCAGUACCAGCUCAUCUAUUAGUAGGCGUAAUAUACUGCUGGAUCACAUGUUGGGUGGAAUAUCUCGUACUCCAGUGACAGUCAACAGUAUAGCUACUCAAACACCUGCUGUACGGAGAUCUAUGUCGACACAGACUGACGAAUCAGAUUCAAAUGUUAUUGUGUAAAUAUUUUAUUACAUUGUAUUUGUAUGCUUUAUGUAUCUCCUGGAACACAUGUUAGGUGGAAUAUCUCAUACUCCAGUGACAGUCAACAGUAUAGCUACUCAAACACCUGCUGUAUUGAGAUCUAUGUCGACACAGACUGACGAAUCAGAUUCAAAUGUUAUUGUGUAAACAUUUUAUUACAUUGUAUUUGUAUGCUUUAUGUAUCUACUGGAUCACAUGUUAGGUGGAAUAUCUCAUACUCCAGUGACAGUCAACAGUAUAGCUACUCAAACACCUGCUGUGCGGAGAUCUAUGUCUACACAGACUGACGAAUCAGAUUCAAAUGUUAUUGUGUAAACAUUUUAUAACUUUGUAUUUGUAUGCUUUAAGAGGGGCUUAAAAGGGGGGGGGGGUAUCUGCACGGAAGAACGCUAAAUAAAAUUGCCUUUUCACAAUGAACAAACAAUUAAAAGUGUCUUGCAUGUUGAUCUUUUUACCGAUUUCACGAAACACGGUGAAUAACUAAACCCUUUUCACGGCUGCAAGUGAAAUAAAAAUAGCAAAAUACAUAGCACGAAAAUAACCCUUUACCACCCUCCUUUAUGUAUCCUAGCUGUGUAUUACCAAUAUGGAGAGAUUAAGAUGGCCAUCUUUUAGUAAAAACAUCAUUAAAGGGGAAUAACUCUUGUGCUUUAUGUAUCCUAGUUAUGUAUUACCAAUAUGGAGAGAUUCAGAUACACACAGUCAGACUACAUAGCUUAUGAACCACAAUCAGAAGCUUUGAUCUUAUUCCAAUGCCAGUCUGAGCUCUUCACUGUCUUACUGUCAGUAGGAUAUCCAACCAUAUACUGUAAAGCAAGUAAUUUUCGCGAUGGUUUUAUUUUUGCGACUUUGCAAGAAAAAUAAUAUCACAAAUAUAAAUCGUUGGGAAUAUGUAAAUCACUAAAUUAAAUCUUGUGACAUGGACCAGAAAGGGCUAAACGCAAAAUAAAGUAUCUGCUAAAAUAGUUGGUUUACAGUAACAUACUGUGUCUAGAGUUUCAUGUUAAGCUGUAUUGACAUAAUUAUUAAAGCUACGUAGCUCACUACUGUAGUCCAAAGUUGGACAAAGAGAGAGAAAAGGCAUGUUGUCUUUUCUUAAGCAUGUUAGUGUGAUAGGUUGUAAGAUGUCUUAUACUAAAGUUAAACUACCAAAUACUCAAUUGGUUGUGUGUGUCGAAAAGACUGUAAGAGUAGUCAUGAAAACAUAAAAAGUAGAUUCUAUUCUUUCUGAUCCUCUUGUAAAAGUCAUGUAAUUCACAGCUUCAGAAUCUAACAAUUCUGGGUAAUAAUUUCAAAAGCAUACACCAAAACGUUGUGAUAACGUUCUAAUCAAUGGAAAUUCAACCAAUGACAUAACUUUAUUUUUAUUUUGGUGUACGAACAAUGAAAUUACCCAUAGUCCUUUAGAUUCUGAAAAGGUGAAUUCUCCAACAGCAAUAGUUAUGUAGGUAAGAAGAUCAACACCAGAGUAAACUUAUGCUUGUAUAGUGUAGUUACACUAACCCAUCAGGAGAUCUAUUUCUACACAGAUUACAGGGGCGGAUCCAGCCAUUUUUAAAAAGGGGGUUCCUAACCCAGGACAAAAAGAGCAGGGGUUCAAACUACAUGUCCCCAUUCAAAUACAUUGAUCGUCCCAAAAAAAAGGGGGGGUUCCAACCCCGGAAAUUCCUCCCCCUGGAUCAGCCAUUAUUGCAGAUUAUAAAUGAAUCAUAUUGAGAUGUUAAUCUAAUUGUGUGAACAUUUUAUUAUUUGUAUGCAUGAUGUACUGUAAAUUCAGAAAUUAUUGCGUGCAUUUAUUACUUCCUUUUUGUCAUUUUAGACUAAGACACAAUUUUAAUUUUUGGGAUGGGGAGAAAAAUUCUGUUUAAUUCCUAUAAAAAAAAAUAAU